Molecule: ribosomal RNA, 439 nt
Filed under: uncultured bacterium
Lineage: Bacteria
Description: partial 16S ribosomal RNA
Rfam family: Bacterial small subunit ribosomal RNA
Source: RNAcentral
CUACGGGCGGCUGCAGUGGGGAAUUUUGCGCAAUGGGGGAAACCCUGACGCAGCGAUACCGCGUGAGUGAAGAAGGCCUUUGGGUCGUAAAGCUCUUUUCUAAGGGAAGAUAGUGACGGUACCUUAGGAAUAAGCGCCGGCUAACUCCGUGCCAGCAGCCGCGGUAAUACGGAGGGCGCGAGCGUUGUUCGGAUUUACUGGGCGUAAAGGGCGCGUAGGCGGCCUGUCAAGUUAAGGGUGAAAUCCCGGGGCUCAACCCCGGAACUGCUCUUAAAACUGCCAAGCUAGAGAUGGUCAGAGGCGGGUGGAAUUCCAGGUGUAGAGGUGAAAUUCGUAGAUAUCUGGAGGAACACCGGUGGCGAAGGCGGCCCGCUGGGGCCAUUCUGACGCUGAGGCGCGAAAGCGUGGGGAGCGAACGGGAUUAGAUACCCCGGUAGUC